Molecule: long non-coding RNA, 229 nt
Organism: Anoplopoma fimbria (sablefish)
Lineage: Eukaryota; Metazoa; Chordata; Actinopteri; Perciformes; Anoplopomatidae
Exons: 3
Source: RefSeq, a predicted model, not a curated record
AAGCAAGCCUCUGCUGACACCCUGUUGCAGUGUGACUCCAAAAACCAGCCUUGUGAGGAGAAGCCAGAACCAGAGCCAGAUCCAACCCUGAAAGCAGAGCUGAGACCAUCUCAUCCCGUUGAGCCAGAACAUGUUGCCCUCAGGGACCCGAAGCCUGUUUGCCUCAGGAGAACCAGAUAAUCCAGGUCUUCACCCUGAUGCCCCCCCCACAUGUGAUGUCUGUGCACGA